GUCCGGAAAGAAAUCCUCUGGGUUAAUACCUCGGGGGGAUGACGGUACCGGAAGAAUAAGCACCGGCUAACUACGUGCCAGCAGCCGCGGUAAUACGUAGGGUGCAAGCGUUAAUCGGAAUUACUGGGCGUAAAGCGUGCGCAGGCGGUUUUGUAAGACGGAUGUGAAAUCCCCGGGCUCAACCUGGGAACUGCAUUCGUGACUGCAAGGCUAGAGUAUGGCAGAGGGGGGUAGAAUUCCACGUGUAGCAGUGAAAUGCGUAGAGAUGUGGAGGAAUACCGAUGGCGAAGGCAGCCCCCUGGGCCAAUACUGACGCUCAUGCACGAAAGCGUGGGGAGCAAACAGGAUUAGAUACCCUGGUAGUCCACGCCCUAAACGAUGUCA
This 384-nucleotide ribosomal RNA is filed under the name uncultured bacterium. RNAcentral describes it as "bacterial SSU rRNA". It matches the Rfam family "Bacterial small subunit ribosomal RNA", at positions 438 to 814 of the family's 1533-position model. The record is from RNAcentral.